UUUAAAGUUUGAAUGGUGGCUCUAUGUCAAUGUAUGUGGAAGUAGAUACAGUUUAAAGAGGAUGAAGUUGAAUGAGAAUUUGAAGGGUCUCCCCAUUGAAAUACAUUAUAAAUUUUUGUUGAAAAAAGUUGAAUAAAAUUAAAAAUAUAAAUGUUAAAAAUGAGAAAAAUAGAAGCAAUGUUGUCCAAAAGAAUAGGAAUCUAACGGUGUUUGAAUGGUUUUUCUAAGUUGAACGGUUUUGAAGGAGUUGGCUUUCAAAAAACGUACGGAAUAGAUAAUAAUAAUAAAAUAUAACUAGAAAGUGCAUUUUCUGAAGAAACUGCAGUGUGAAUGCUUGAAUCUGAAUGUAUGCACUGAAAUGAAUUAAUUGCUGAAUUUUGAGUUAAAAAUAUUGAAUGAGAUUAAAAAAAAACAAAAAAACCCCCGAAUUUAACCUGAAAACAAAGGUGCUGAACUGCUAAAAGCUGAAGGUUACACAGAAGAAGGAGUUGGAAAAAAAACUGAAAAUGUUUUAAAUGUCAAUUAGAAAACCCUAAGAAAUGAGAAAAGAACAUUUAGAGUCAGAAAACAUCUGAAUGAAUAUCAAAAGGUCAUAUUCUUUGAAUCACUGAAUGACUCAAAUGUGAUCCCUCCACUUUGAUCCACACAGUUUAAAAAGUUUAAAUGCCUGAGCUUUGAAAGAUACGGUGUUGGAAAGAGAACAAUAAUGGCGACAAUUUGAGGGUAAAAUGAUGGCUGUAACACUGUGGACACAGCAGCAGUUGAAAGAGAAGUUCUUAAGAUGAAUCUUGGUACAGUGGCAGGCAGAGCUCGUUAAGCAGGCAGGUGUGAGCCUGGUUGCUAUAGUGACCGCACCCAAUGGCUCCAUACACACGUACACAGACAUGCGCCUCACUUUUGCUGCUUAAAAUGAACAGAAAAGUCAGGCCGAAACAAAUCGUUCCCAAAUGAAAAGUAAAAGUCGUAUUGACAAAAUUCUUUCACCGUGAGCGACAGCAGCUUCUAGUCUACUGAAUUCUCAGUUUUCAUGCCUGUGGAGUUUAUUAUAUGGACGUGGUGACAGUGGAAAGACACCAUGCUCUUCUGAUUUUCAAACGAACCUUCUGAGCCAUUUUAACAUUAGAGUCUAUGGAAGAGUUGGAGGGAGGAGGCUGUGCAUUGGUGACAUUUAUGAAAGAACCAUAACACCUAGUACAAUAGUAAACACAUUGGAUGAAAGAGGACAGCCAUGGCUACGUUUUGAGGGUAAAAUCAUACCUGUAGAGCAAACGCUGCGGACACAGCAGCAGUUUUAAAAAAGAUUUUAAGAUUAAUUUUUUUGCUCCUCUCACUCUAGCAGUUGAGCUGCCUCACUCUAGCCCCAACAUUCCGUCCC
Astatotilapia calliptera (eastern happy) is the source of this 1375-nucleotide long non-coding RNA. NCBI's taxonomy places the organism in Eukaryota, Metazoa, Chordata, Actinopteri, Cichliformes, Cichlidae. The record is from Ensembl.